This 215-nucleotide unclassified non-coding RNA is filed under the name uncultured fungus. RNAcentral's name for it is "sequence contains ITS1". The record is from RNAcentral. Lineage: Eukaryota; Fungi.
GUAUAGAUUUUUAUCAUGGGCACAACAUUCUAUUGACAUACAUUGGGGUAAAUGAAGAAGCAACAUAGACCCCUGGAAAGAUAUCCCUGGGUCUACAAAAGGUGCACAGGUGGAGAUAUAAAAAUGACAAGGCGUGCACAUGCUCCCUGGAGAGCCAGCAACAACCCAUCAGGUUUAUUUCAAUAAUGAUCCUUCCGCAGGUUCACCUACGGAAA